RNAcentral lists this long non-coding RNA (1600 nucleotides) under Brassica rapa (field mustard). Its description in RNAcentral is "long non-coding RNA (BRAP_LNC007522)". The record is from RNAcentral. Lineage: Eukaryota; Viridiplantae; Streptophyta; Magnoliopsida; Brassicales; Brassicaceae.
ACAUCAUAAUUUAAAGAGGAAAUUGUAAAUAUGGAACAAAAAAACUAAUAGAUUGUCUUGAUGCCAUAAAUAUGAACUAUAAGUUUUUCACUUAGGGCAUCAUUGGUUUCUCUGCUAUCACCCGCAAACGCAGCUGUAACAAUCAUUCAAACCGCUCUAAACCACAUCAAAUUGCUCUAAACCUCUUAAAUUCAAAAGCUGGUUCCAGCUAAUGGUUACGGUUGCGGGCGAUUGUGGGAGGGUAUUUUUUUUUUAAACAAUAUAAAUAAAAAAAUAAAAAUAAAAAUAAAAUAAAAAUUUUAAAUUGGAAUUAUAAAAAUACUAAAAUAUAUCUAUUAUAUUUUAAUUAAGGGGCGACUGGUUUUUCCGCUACCACCCGCAAACGCAACUUUUGCGGUUGGUAGCGGUUGUCUGCGGUUUGCAACAAUCACUCAAAUCGCUCUAAACCGCUUCAAACCAAUCCGAAUCUCAUAAAUUCAAAAGCUGGCUCCAGCUAGGGUUUGCGGUUGCGGGAGCAUAAAUUUUUUUUCUUUUUUUUAAAACAACAUAUAUACAAAAGUAAAAAUAUUUAAUAAAGAAUUUAAAAUUGAAAUUAUGAAAAUCUUAAAAUAUAUCUAUUAUAUUUUAAUUAAUAUUAUAAAAUUUAUAAUAAAACAAAUUUCAAUAAAUUUUCAAAAAUUAAAAUUAUAACUUUCUAAAUAUAAAUUUUAUAUUUAUUAUAACUUUAUGAUUUUUGAUAUUUUUAUAAUUAUAUUAAAUGUAAAUAUUGUUAAUUUAUUAUUUGACUGUUACCGUAUUUAGUAGUUAACCAGUCAUAAGUCACUCGCAAACACACCAAUUUUUAACCGCAGCACCAGUCGUACAAAUUUCUUGAAACUGCUAGAAACCGCAACCGCCCGCAUCCACAAACUCCCGCAACUGCAACCGCAACCGCUGCGUUUGAACCAGUCAGGCCCUUAAUAUUAUAAAACUUUAAAAUAAAAAUAUUUUCUAAUUUUAAAAAUUAAAAAACUAUAACUUUCUAAAUAUAAUUUUUAUAUUUAUAAUAAUAUCAUGAUUUUUGAUAUUAUUAUAAUUAUAGAAAAUGUAAAUAUUGUUAAUUUAUUAUUUAACCGCUGCUGCAUUUAGUAGUUAACCAGUCAUAAGUAUCCCGCAAAACGCACCAAUUUAUAACUGCAGUACCAGUCAUACAAAUCUCUUAAAACCGCUAGAAACCACAACCACCCGCACCCGCAAACUCCCACAACCGCUGCGUUUGAACCAGUUACACCCUUAGUAUAAUGUUUUUUUAAAACCCAAUUAAACCCUUAAUCUAAUCUUAAUAUGUACGUUUUUCUAUAAAUUUAAUUGUUUAAAAAAAUUUAAAAUUUAAAAAACAAAAAAAAAAGAAAAUAAACAAAAGCGGAUGUGGUUAAAAAAAAGGGGUUAAUUGAUUAUUUCCCAAAUCGGGGAGACUAAGAACCCUAAUUUCGGUUCUUUUUUUGGUGAUAGAGAACAAGUCGAUUUCAAGUCAUUGGGUUCUCAGAGCUCGCCGUCGGCGGUGUUCCUUGUGCCGCUAAGACUCUGCCGGUGUUCUUCUUCUUCUUAAUCCAAGUCUCGC